RNAcentral lists this ribosomal RNA (1603 nucleotides) under Salmonella enterica subsp. enterica serovar Enteritidis. RNAcentral's name for it is "partial 23S ribosomal RNA". It matches the Rfam family "Bacterial large subunit ribosomal RNA", at positions 1262 to 2843 of the family's 2925-position model. Lineage: Bacteria; Pseudomonadati; Pseudomonadota; Gammaproteobacteria; Enterobacterales; Enterobacteriaceae. The record is from RNAcentral.
UGUGAGGGUUGCUGGAGGUAUCAGAAGUGCGAAUGCUGACAUAAGUAACGAUAAAGCGGGUGAAAAGCCCGCUCGCCGGAAGACCAAGGGUUCCUGUCCAACGUUAAUCGGGGCAGGGUGAGUCGACCCCUAAGGCGAGGCCGAAAGGCGUAGUCGAUGGGAAACGGGUUAAUAUUCCCGUACUUGGUGUUACUGCGAAGGGGGGACGGAGAAGGCUAUGUUGGCCGGGCGACGGUUGUCCCGGUUUAAGCGUGUAGGUGUGUGUUCCAGGUAAAUCCGGUUCACUUUAACACUGAGGCGUGACGACGAGGCACUACGGUGCUGAAGCAACAAAUGCCCUGCUUCCAGGAAAAGCCUCUAAGCAUCAGGUAACAUCAAAUCGUACCCCAAACCGACACAGGUGGUCAGGUAGAGAAUACCAAGGCGCUUGAGAGAACUCGGGUGAAGGAACUAGGCAAAAUGGUGCCGUAACUUCGGGAGAAGGCACGCUGACACGUAGGUGAAGUGAUUUACUCAUGGAGCUGAAGUCAGUCGAAGAUACCAGCUGGCUGCAACUGUUUAUUAAAAACACAGCACUGUGCAAACACGAAAGUGGACGUAUACGGUGUGACGCCUGCCCGGUGCCGGAAGGUUAAUUGAUGGGGUCAGCGCAAGCGAAGCUCCUGAUCGAAGCCCCGGUAAACGGCGGCCGUAACUAUAACGGUCCUAAGGUAGCGAAAUUCCUUGUCGGGUAAGUUCCGACCUGCACGAAUGGCGUAAUGAUGGCCAGGCUGUCUCCACCCGAGACUCAGUGAAAUUGAACUCGCUGUGAAGAUGCAGUGUACCCGCGGCAAGACGGAAAGACCCCGUGAACCUUUACUAUAGCUUGACACUGAACAUUGAGCCUUGAUGUGUAGGAUAGGUGGGAGGCUUUGAAGUGUGGACGCCAGUCUGCAUGGAGCCGACCUUGAAAUACCACCCUUUAAUGUUUGAUGUUCUAACGUGGACCCGUUACCCGGGUUGCGGACAGUGUCUGGUGGGUAGUUUGACUGGGGCGGUCUCCUCCUAAAGAGUAACGGAGGAGCACGAAGGUUGGCUAAUCCUGGUCGGACAUCAGGAGGUUAGUGCAAUGGCAUAAGCCAGCUUGACUGCGAGCGUGACGGCGCGAGCAGGUGCGAAAGCAGGUCAUAGUGAUCCGGUGGUUCUGAAUGGAAGGGCCAUCGCUCAACGGAUAAAAGGUACUCCGGGGAUAACAGGCUGAUACCGCCCAAGAGUUCAUAUCGACGGCGGUGUUUGGCACCUCGAUGUCGGCUCAUCACAUCCUGGGGCUGAAGUAGGUCCCAAGGGUAUGGCUGUUCGCCAUUUAAAGUGGUACGCGAGCUGGGUUUAGAACGUCGUGAGACAGUUCGGUCCCUAUCUGCCGUGGGCGCUGGAGAACUGAGGGGGGCUGCUCCUAGUACGAGAGGACCGGAGUGGACGCAUCACUGGUGUUCGGGUUGUCAUGCCAAUGGCACUGCCCGGUAGCUAAAUGCGGAAGAGAUAAGUGCUGAAAGCAUCUAAGCACGAAACUUGCCCCGAGAUGAGUUCUCCCUGAGACUUAAAGUCUCCUGAAGGAACGUUGAAG